RNAcentral lists this ribosomal RNA (253 nucleotides) under uncultured bacterium. RNAcentral describes it as "partial 16S ribosomal RNA". It matches the Rfam family "Bacterial small subunit ribosomal RNA", at positions 524 to 776 of the family's 1533-position model. The record is from RNAcentral.
AACGUAGGAGGCAAACGUUAUCCGGAGUUACUGGGCGUAAAGGGCGUGUAGGUGGUUGCGUAAGUCUGGCGUGAAAUUUUUCGGCUUAACCGGGAAAGGUCGUCGGAUACUGCGUAGCUAGAGGACGGUAGAGGCGUGUGGAAUUCCGGGUGUAGUGGUGAAAUGCGUAGAGAUCCGGAGGAACACCAGUGGCGAAGGCGGCAUCCUGGACCAACACUGACGCUGAGGAGCGAAAGCCAGGGGAGCAAACGGG